RNAcentral lists this ribosomal RNA (594 nucleotides) under Apiotrichum laibachii. RNAcentral describes it as "LSU rRNA". It matches the Rfam family "Eukaryotic large subunit ribosomal RNA", at positions 85 to 664 of the family's 3401-position model. The record is from RNAcentral. Lineage: Eukaryota; Fungi; Basidiomycota; Tremellomycetes; Trichosporonales; Trichosporonaceae.
UACGGCGAGUGAACCGGGAAGAGCUCAAAUUUGAAAUCUGGCUGUCUUCGAUAGUCCGAGUUGUAAUCUAUAGAAGCGUUUUCCGUGCUGAACUGUGUCUAAGUCCUCUGGAACGAGGUAUCAAAGAGGGUGACAAUCCCGUACUUGACACAAUCAUCAGUGCUCUGUGAUACGUUCUCUACGAGUCGAGUUGUUUGGGAAUGCAGCUCAAAAUGGGUGGUAAAUUCCAUCUAAAGCUAAAUAUUGGCGAGAGACCGAUAGCGAACAAGUACCGUGAGGGAAAGAUGAAAAGCACUUUGGAAAGAGAGUUAAACAGUACGUGAAAUUGUUAAAAGGGAAACGAUUGAAGUCAGUCGUGUUUAUUGGAUUCAGCCGGUCUUCGGUGUACUUCCUUUAAACGGGUCAACAUCAGUUUUGUUCGGUGGAUAAAGGCAGUAGGAAUGUGGCUCCCUCGGGAGUGUUAUAGCCUAUUGUCACAUACACUGGAGGAGACUGAGGACUGCAGCUCGCCUUUUUGGCCGGGGUUCGCCCACGUUCGAGCUUAGGAUGUUGACAUAAUGGCUUUAAACGACCCGUCUUGAAMMACGGAACCAA